Molecule: ribosomal RNA, 253 nt
Filed under: uncultured bacterium
Lineage: Bacteria
Description: partial 16S ribosomal RNA
Rfam family: Bacterial small subunit ribosomal RNA
Source: RNAcentral
UACGGAGGGGGCUAGCGUUGUUCGGAAUUACUGGGCGUAAAGCGCACGUAGGCGGCUUUGUAAGUUAGAGGUGAAAGCCCGGGGCUCAACUCCGGAAUUGCCUUUAAGACUGCAUCGCUAGAAUUGUGGAGAGGUAAGUGGAAUUCCGAGUGUAGAGGUGAAAUUCGUAGAUAUUCGGAAGAACACCAGUGGCGAAGGCGACUUACUGGACACAUAUUGACGCUGAGGUGCGAAAGCAUGGGGAGCAAACAGG